AACGAACGCUGGCGGCAUGCCUAACACAUGCAAGUCGAACGAGACCUUCGGGCCUUGUGGCGCACGGGUGCGUACCGCGUGGGAACCUGCCCUUAGGUUCGGAAUAACUCCCCGUAAGGGGUCCUAAUACCGGUUAAUGUCAUCGCACCAAAGAUUUAUCGCGUCUGGAUGGGCCCGCGUUGGAUUAGCUAGUUGGUAGGGUAAAAGCCUACCAAGGCGACGAUCCAUAGCUGGUCUGAGAGGAUGAUCAGCCACACUGGGACUGAGACACGGCCCAGACUCCUACGGGAGGCAGCAGUGGGGAAUAUUGGAGGAUGGGCGAAAGCCUGAUCAAGCAAUGCCGCGGGAGUGAUGAAGGCCGUAGGGUUGUAAAGCUCUUUUACCCGGGAUGAUAAUGACAGUACCGGGAGAAUAAGCCCCGGCUAACUCCGUG
This 433-nucleotide ribosomal RNA is filed under the name uncultured bacterium. RNAcentral describes it as "partial 16S ribosomal RNA". It matches the Rfam family "Bacterial small subunit ribosomal RNA", at positions 29 to 507 of the family's 1533-position model. The record is from RNAcentral.